GACGAACGCUGGCGGCGUGCUUAACACAUGCAAGUCGAACGGAAAGGCCCUGAUCUUGUGUGGUGCUCGAUUGGCGCACGGGUGAGUAACACAUGAGUAACCUGUCCUUGAAUUUGGGAUAACUUCAGGAAACUGGGGCUAUUACCGGAUAGGAGCUUCUGCUGCACGGUGGGGGUUGGAAAGAUUCGGCGGUUGGGGCUGGACUAGCGGCUUACGCGCUUCAUGGUGGGGUAGUGGCUUUCCAAGGGUAUGACGGGUAGCCGGCCUGGGAGGGUUACCGGCGACAUUGGGACUGAGAGACGGCGCAGACGCCUACGGGAGGCAGAAGUCGGGAAUAUUGCGCAAUGGGCGGAAGCCUGAUACGGCGACGCUGCGUGCGGGAUGACGGCCUACGAGUUAUAAACCGCUGUCGCCUGUGACGAAGCGAGAGUGACGGUAGUGGGUAAGGAAGCAACGGCUAACUACGUG
RNAcentral lists this ribosomal RNA (468 nucleotides) under uncultured bacterium. RNAcentral's name for it is "partial 16S ribosomal RNA". It matches the Rfam family "Bacterial small subunit ribosomal RNA", at positions 28 to 507 of the family's 1533-position model. The record is from RNAcentral.